RNAcentral lists this ribosomal RNA (497 nucleotides) under uncultured bacterium. RNAcentral describes it as "partial 16S ribosomal RNA". It matches the Rfam family "Bacterial small subunit ribosomal RNA", at positions 28 to 507 of the family's 1533-position model. The record is from RNAcentral.
GAUGAACGCUGGCGGCGUGCCUAAUACAUGCAAGUCGAGCGAACGGACGAGAAGCUUGCUUUUCUGAUGUUAGCGGCGGACGGGUGAGUAACACGUGGAUAACCUACCUAUAAGACUGGGAUAACUUCGGGAAACCGGAGCUAAUACCGGAUAAUAUUUUUAACCGCAUGGUUCAAAAGUGAAAGACGGUCUUGCUGUCACUUAUAGAUGGAUCCGCGCUGCAUUAGCUAGUUGGUAAGGUAACGGCUUACCAAGGCAACGAUGCAUAGCCGACCUGAGAGGGUGAUCGGCCACACUGGAACUGAGACACGGUCCAGACUCCUACGGGAGGCAGAAGUAGGGAAUCUUCCGCAAAGGGCGAAAGCCUGACGGAGCAACGCCGCGUGAGUGAUGAAGGUCUUCGGAUCGUAAAACUCUGUUAUUAGGGAAGAACAUAUGUGUAAGUAACUGUGCACAUCUUGACGGUACCUAAUCAGAAAGCCACGGCUAACUACGUG